AUUGAACGCUGGCGGCAGGCCUAACACAUGCGAGUCGAACGGUAGCACAGAGAGCUUGCUCUCGGGUGACGAGUGGCGGACGGGUGAGUAAUGUCUGGGAAACUGCCCGAUGGAGGGGGAUAACUACUGGAAACGGUAGCUAAUACCGCAUAACGUCGCAAGACCAAAGUGGGGGACCUUCGGGCCUCACACCAUCGGAUGUGCCCAGAUGGGAUUAGCUAGUAGGUGGGGUAAUGGCUCACCUAGGCGACGAUCCCUAGCUAGUCUGAGAGGAUGACCAGCCACACUGGAACUGGGACACGGUCCAGACUCCUACGGGAGGCAGCAGUGGGGAAUAUCGCACAAUGGGCGCAAGCCUGAUGCAGCCAUGCCGCGUGUAUGAAGAAGGCCUUCGGGUUGUAAAGUACUUUCAGCGGGGAGGAAGGCGGUGAAGUUAAUAACUUCACCGAUUGACGUUACCCGCAGAAGAAGCACCGGCUAACUCCGUGCCAGCCGCCGCAGUAA
Molecule: ribosomal RNA, 504 nt
Filed under: uncultured bacterium
Lineage: Bacteria
Description: partial 16S ribosomal RNA
Rfam family: Bacterial small subunit ribosomal RNA
Source: RNAcentral